GCGUGGUCAAAGCGUGGUACAAUCCAAGACGGUCUUCGGAACCGAGGGUUACAGGUUCGAAUCCUGUCGGGC
This 72-nucleotide transfer RNA is filed under the name Phycisphaerae bacterium. RNAcentral describes it as "tRNA-OTHER". RNAcentral also lists the same sequence under 1 other name. Lineage: Bacteria; Pseudomonadati; Planctomycetota; Phycisphaerae. The record is from RNAcentral.